Molecule: unclassified non-coding RNA, 184 nt
Filed under: uncultured Glomus
Lineage: Eukaryota; Fungi; Glomeromycota; Glomeromycetes; Glomerales; Glomeraceae
Description: sequence contains 18S rRNA gene
Rfam family: Eukaryotic small subunit ribosomal RNA
Source: RNAcentral
AGCAGCCGCGGUAAUUCCAGCUCCAAUAGCGUAUAUUAAAGUUGUUGCAGUUAAAAGCUCGUAGUUGAAUUUCGGGAUUGGCGCAUCGGUCGUGCCUUACGGGGUAUGAACUGGUGCAGUCAAUUUCUCACCUUCUGGAGAACCGCGAUGUCCUUAAUUGGGUGCCGCGGGGAACCAGGACCUU